Molecule: ribosomal RNA, 254 nt
Filed under: uncultured bacterium
Lineage: Bacteria
Description: partial 16S ribosomal RNA
Rfam family: Bacterial small subunit ribosomal RNA
Source: RNAcentral
UACGUAGGCAGCAAGCGUUGUUCGGAGUUACUGGGCGUAAAGGGUGUGUAGGCGGUUAUUUAAGUUUGGUGUGAAAUCUCCCGGCUCAACCGGGAGGGUGCGCCGAAUACUGAAUGACUUGGAGUGCGGGAGAGGAAAGUGGAAUUCCUGGUGUAGCGGUGAAAUGCGUAGAUAUCAGGAGGAACACCGGUGGUGUAGACGGCUUUCUGGACCGUAACUGACGCUGAGACACGAAAGCGUGGGGAGCAAACAGG